AUUGAACGCUGGCGGCAGGCCUAACACAUGCAAGUCGAGCGGAUGAAGGGAGCUUGCUCCUGGAUUCAGCGGCGGACGGGUGAGUAAUGCCUAGGAAUCUGCCUGGUAGUGGGGGAUAACGUCCGGAAACGGGCGCUAAUACCGCAUACGUCCUGAGGGAGAAAGUGGGGGAUCUUCGGACCUCACGCUAUCAGAUGAGCCUAGGUCGGAUUAGCUAGUUGGUGGGGUAAAGGCCUACCAAGGCGACGAUCCGUAACUGGCCUGAGAGGACGAUCAGUCACACUGGAACUGAGACACGGUCCAGACUCCUACGGGAGGCAGCAGUGGGGAAUAUUGGACAAUGGGCGAAAGCCUGAUCCAGCCAUGCCGCGUGUGUGAAGAAGGUCUUCGGAUUGUAAAGCACUUUAAGUUGGGAGGAAGGGCAGUAAGUUAAUACCUUGCUGUUUUGACGUUACCAACAGAAUAAGCACCGGCUAACUUCGUG
RNAcentral lists this ribosomal RNA (484 nucleotides) under uncultured bacterium. Its description in RNAcentral is "partial 16S ribosomal RNA". It matches the Rfam family "Bacterial small subunit ribosomal RNA", at positions 30 to 507 of the family's 1533-position model. The record is from RNAcentral.